AGAGUUUGAUCAUGGCUCAGAUUGAACGCUGGCSGAAUGCUUUACACAUGCAAGUCGAACGGCAGCACGGGAGCUUGCUCCUGGUGGCGAGUGGCGAACGGGUGAGUAAUGCGUCGGAACGUACCGAGUAAUGGGGGAUAACGUGGCGAAAGUCACGCUAAUACCGCAUACGCCCCGAGGGGGAAAGCAGGGGAUCGCUAGACCUUGCGUUAUUCGAGCGGCCGACGUCUGAUUAGCUAGUUGGUAGGGUAAAGGCCUACCAAGGCGACGAUCAGUAGCGGGUCUGAGAGGAUGAUCCGCCACACCGGGACUGAGACACGGCCCAGACUCCUACGGGAGGCAGCAGUGGGGAAUUUUGGACAAUGGGCGCAAGCCUGAUCCAGCAAUGCCGCGUGCAGGAUGAAGGCCUUCGGGUUGUAAACUGCUUUUGUACGGAACGAAAAGACUCCUUCUAAUAAAGGGG
Molecule: ribosomal RNA, 463 nt
Filed under: uncultured bacterium
Lineage: Bacteria
Description: bacterial SSU rRNA
Rfam family: Bacterial small subunit ribosomal RNA
Source: RNAcentral